GACGUGGGGCGCGAGCGUUGUCCGGAUUUAUUGGGCGUAAAGAGCUCGUAGGUGGUUUGUCGCGUUGUCCGUGAAAACUCACAGCUCAACUGUGGGCGUGCGGGCGAUACGGGCAGACUGGAGUACUGCAGGGGAGACUGGAAUUCCUGGUGUAGCGGUGGAAUGCGCAGAUAUCAGGAGGAACACCGGUGGCGAAGGCGGGUCUCUGGGCAGUAACUGACGCUGAGGAGCGAAAGCGUGGGGAGCGAACAGG
This 253-nucleotide ribosomal RNA is filed under the name uncultured bacterium. RNAcentral's name for it is "partial 16S ribosomal RNA". It matches the Rfam family "Bacterial small subunit ribosomal RNA", at positions 524 to 776 of the family's 1533-position model. The record is from RNAcentral.